UCAUUGCUCUUGAUGACCACCCGUUGUCAGUUGUAGAUAAUACAGGAUUUCGUCGUCUUCUUUGUGUACUUGAGCUGAAGUAUGAGAUUCCCAGCCGUCACCACAUUACAGAUACCGCAUUACCAAAGCUGCAUGACUUAGUGAAAAAGCACAUCAGACUUCAACUUCACCACUGAUAUUUGGACUAGCAGUAUCAGCCCAAUGUCUCUUAUAAGUUUAACAGCACAGUGGAUUGAUGAGGAUUUUACUCCCCAGAGUCAUUUUAGAGGUUUACUCCCCAGAGUCAAGCAAUGCAGUUUAAGGGUUCGCACACUGGCCAAGCCGUAGCAGGUGUGUUUGAUGACAUGCUUCAGACAUGGGGGAUUCCCACAGCAACAAGAAAAAAUACUUUUGCGCUCAAGGAGAUCCAGUCUACAUGUAUUAUUCCACACCUCUAUCGCAAAAUUACUUGCACGGAGUCACACAGUCGAUUGGUGUCACAAGUUCCUCUCACACAAAUCGCUGGAGCACGCAGCCCGCUCUGAAACCCAGAGCUUGCAGCGCGACAUUGACUUUGUUUACUUUUACAUGUACAUUGGUGUGAUUUCUGUCCUGCCUCCGUCCUCGUAUUGUCAUUGACCAAUCUCCCUUAUAUGUCAUCAUUAGUCUCAGGUGUUUUGUGUUCAUCUUUGAUUAUGUGUGUCAUUUAAACCCCUUGUGUCAUAUUGUUUGUUGCGAAGUAUUGUGUGAGUUUUCAGUAUUCCAAACCGCUGCUCUUUGUUUCUGUGCCAUAGUUUUGAUCUUGUUCUCUCCCUCAUUCUUCAAUUCUGUUUUGCCUCGUUCAUGCCCAUUUGUCGUUCACCUGACCUUUUGCCUGUUCUGGCCACGCCUAUGUUUCACGAUAUGGAUUUGUUUGCUUAUCUCUCAUAUAAUAAAGCUCUUAUCUGCAUUUGCA
Long non-coding RNA from Ictalurus punctatus (channel catfish), 934 nucleotides. RefSeq lists it as uncharacterized. The transcript is spliced from 2 exons. NCBI's taxonomy places the organism in Eukaryota, Metazoa, Chordata, Actinopteri, Siluriformes, Ictaluridae. The record is from RefSeq and is a predicted model, not a curated record.